UCUGCGCAUGUCUAAUGUUUUACGACACACGUCAUUCGUCAGGUUUGACUUGUACUUGCGAGUCAUUUUUGUGUCGUUUAUCUCCGUCUGUAAGUGGACUUGUUACUGGAAAAGAUGGAAACUUUUGAAUUUUAUAACGUCUUGGAAGAUGUGUCGCCUGAAAAAUUUAAGUCCAGUCGAAUGAAGAGGGAGCGAAAUGAAAUGCGACGUGUGUCUGUGAACUUUAUAAUGGACAUGUACAGCUCUUUGAUGCCCAGUGGUAACCAGCCUACCAUGUGGCUCAACAGAUGCCAGUGUACCCGAAUACUGAGACACAAUUGGAUGUUCUUUUCUUCUGCUUUUAAGAUUCCCAGUUUGGGAUGAUGUGCAGUUCAUGUUAGAUUUGCUAUUUCUACAGUUACAGUGAAGUAGAAGAGUCCGGUCUUGUUAUGGGGCAGCAGUUAAAGAAGAAGGAUGGAGAGAUGUGUGCCAUGUUGAAGUAUCGGCUGGUCCUCCUGCCCGCUCUUCUAGAAUCCUCCAUCUAAACCUCUGCUCUGAUCUGCUGUGCCUUUGCCAAGUGAUCACGAGGUAUUGGU
This is a long non-coding RNA of Erpetoichthys calabaricus (reedfish), 575 nucleotides long. RefSeq lists it as uncharacterized. Lineage: Eukaryota; Metazoa; Chordata; Cladistia; Polypteriformes; Polypteridae. The record is from RefSeq and is a predicted model, not a curated record. The transcript has 3 exons.